GACGAACGCUGGCGGCGUGCUUAACACAUGCAAGUCGAACGGAAAGGCCCUGCUUUUGUGGGGUGCUCGAGUGGCGAACGGGUGAGUAACACGUGAGUAACCUGCCCUUGACUUUGGGAUAACUUCAGGAAACUGGGGCUAAUACCGGAUAGGAUCUCCUGCUGCAUGGUGGGGGUUGGAAAGUUUCGGCGGUUGGGGAUGGACUCGCGGCUUAUCAGCUUGUUGGUGGGGUAGUGGCUUACCAAGGCUUUGACGGGUAGCCGGCCUGAGAGGGUGACCGGCCACACUGGGACUGAGAUACGGCCCAGACUCCUACGGGAGGCAGCAGUGGGGAAUAUUGCACAAUGGGCGGAAGCCUGAUGCAGCAACGCCGCGUGCGGGAUGACGGCCUUCGGGUUGUAACCCGCUUUCGCCUGUGACGAAGCGUGAGUGACGGUAAUGGGUAAAGAAGCACCGGCUAAAUACGUG
RNAcentral lists this ribosomal RNA (468 nucleotides) under uncultured bacterium. RNAcentral's name for it is "partial 16S ribosomal RNA". It matches the Rfam family "Bacterial small subunit ribosomal RNA", at positions 28 to 507 of the family's 1533-position model. The record is from RNAcentral.